AUGAAGGAAAACUGCUUGAAAAGGCCCCUGGCACCUAAUGAACACUUUGUAGGUGUUGGUCGUCAUCAUCACCAUGACUAUCACCCCUAUCACCUCAUCACCAUCAUCACCAUUACAUCAUCAUCGCCUUCAUCACCACCAUCACCAUCACCUCAUCACCAUCACCACCAUCAACCUCCAUCACCCCCAUCACCUCAUCACCAUCACCACCAUCACCUCAUCACCAUCACCACCAUCACCUCAUCACCAUCACCAUUACAUCAUCACCUUCAUCACCACCAUCACCAUCACCUCAUCACCAUUACCACUAUCACCAUCAUCACCUCAUCACCAUUACAUCAUCAUCAUUGCCUUCAUCAGCACCAUUACCAUCACCACCAUCAUCUUUUACUCUUUUCUAUUUUUUAUUUUGUAUUAAAAUUUCACUUUUUGUAACUAUAUUUUAUUUAUUAAAGCUGUUCUAUUUAUUUUUUGAGACAGUCUCGCAAUGUCAACCAGGCUGGAAUGCAAUGUCGUGAUCACAGCUCACUGCAGCCUCAAUCUUUUGGGCUCAAGCGAUGAUGCUCCUGCCUCCUGAAUAGCUGGGAUGAACAGAUGUGCACCACCAUACCCAGCUAUUUUUUUUUUUAUUGUUUUUGUAGAGAUGAGGUCUCACUCUGUUGCCCAGGCUGAUCUCGAACUCCUGGGCUCAAGGGAUCCUCUUGCCUUGGCCUUUCAAAGUGUGAGGAUAACAGGCAGGAGCCACCGAAUCCAAUGACCACCCCCACCCCCAUCACCACUACUGUUAUAGCCCCUGGGUGCAACAAUAUCCCCCCUGGAGUGAGGAGGGAGGGCCCUCUGGUUUGGUCCUUUCUGCUCAUGAGGCUAGGCGAGGGAAAUGUCUUUUCUCCUUUUUCAGCAGCUGGACCCUUGGUGAGGAAAAAGGGUGUUCAAAGACAUUCAUCGAAAACUUGGUGGGAAAUUCACCGCCCAGACACAUGCUGUUUGGUCUGCUCAGUAUCAGCAUGCAUGAACAUGGAAAAUUUGGAAUCAAAUGGCCACUCUUAGGGCUGGAUGUGGUCGUAUGCGCCUAUAGACCCAGCUACUCGGAGGCUGAGGUGGGAGAACUGCUUGAGCCCAGCCGGGGAGGUCCCGGCUGCAGUGAGACGUGUUUGUGCCACUGCAUUCCAGCCUGGGUGACAGUGAGACCCUGUCUCAAAAAAAAAAAGAAAAAAGAAGCCAUUUUUUUAAAACCAGAAGAGUCUACAUGAGAAUCUUGUUUUCUAGCAUAUUUUUUAAAGUCCAAAUAUGUAGCAGCACUGAGCUCAGGAAAUUCAGCGGGUGCCAAGUCACGGCUGCCCUGCAGGGAAGUCAGGCGAUGCGGCCGCCGUCCCCACCUCCCCCUGCUGCCCGGGACUUUGCAGAGUUCUCCCACCUCUCGCCUGAUUCCCACAUUUCACUUCUUGGCCUGGCCCCCACAGGCCUUUUGAGUU
Aotus nancymaae (Ma's night monkey) is the source of this 1472-nucleotide long non-coding RNA. Lineage: Eukaryota; Metazoa; Chordata; Mammalia; Primates; Aotidae. The record is from Ensembl.